GAGGGUGGAGCUCAGUGGUAGAGUGCAAUGCCUAGCAUGCAUAAGGUGCUGGGUUCAAUUCCCAGUACCUCUA
Molecule: transfer RNA, 73 nt
Filed under: Camelus bactrianus (Bactrian camel)
Lineage: Eukaryota; Metazoa; Chordata; Mammalia; Artiodactyla; Camelidae
Also listed under: 2 other names
Rfam family: tRNA
About the family: Transfer RNA (tRNA) molecules are approximately 80 nucleotides in length. Their secondary structure includes four short double-helical elements and three loops (D, anti-codon, and T loops).
Source: Rfam by way of RNAcentral